Molecule: long non-coding RNA, 377 nt
Organism: Aphis gossypii (cotton aphid)
Lineage: Eukaryota; Metazoa; Arthropoda; Insecta; Hemiptera; Aphididae
Exons: 3
Source: RefSeq, a predicted model, not a curated record
ACCUGCGAUGGAUGAGGAGCUUGUGGCGAAGUACAGUUUACCAGUGACAUAGGACUCAUGUUGAAUAUGUUUGGAUGUAACUUUAGAGCUGGAAGUUUUACCACCACAGGUGUCUAAAAAAAUCAUAAGAUUGUUCAGAUACAAUUAAAUCGCUCCCGAGAGUUGAUCACAUGAAUUGGUAUUUAUCUACUGAUCAAGCUGUACUAGAAAUCUGGAAGUUGAAUAAAAACCUCUACGGAUUUCUCGACACACUUUACAUAGUGUUCCCCAAGGCAGCAGUGAUAUCGCUCCUUUCUUACAUACAAUCUACACGUCGGACCUACCCACAUCUAUAGAUACUACAGUUGGUACAUAUGCUGAUGAUACCGCCUUAUUAU